GUGACCUGCGGAGGAUCAUUAAUGAAUUCAAGAGAGUUGAUGCUGGCGGUCUUGUGGCUGCAUGUGCUCGCUCUCCUAAUCCAAUUUACACCUGUGCACUUAACUUUGAAGGGAGGGUAAAACCUGCCUUCGAAAUCUUUAAACUCUUAUAUAACGAAUGUUUAUCUGCCGCAAGGCAAAAUUUAAUACAACUUUUAACAACGGAUCUCUUGGCUCUCGCAUCGAUGAAGAACGCAGCGAAAUGCGAUAAGUAAUGUGAAUUGCAGAAUUCAGUGAAUCAUCGAAUCUUUGAACGCACCUUGCGCUCCCUGGUAUUCCGGGGAGCACGCCUGUUCGAGUGUCAUGAAACUCUCAAGCAAGAUAGAUUUAUUUCUAUCUCUGUUUGGAUAUGGACUCUGCCGCGUCAAUGCGGCUGGUCUUAAAUAUAUUAGCUGGUCCUAGUGAAGGUUUGGUUCUACUCAGCAUGAUAAUUAUCUGAUGUUGAGGACAGUCUUAGGACUGGCCAGGCUCUCUCUGGAUUGCUUCUAAUCGUCUUUGGACAAUUAAUCAAUAUCUGACCUCGAAUCAGGUGGGACUACCCGCUGAACUUAAGC
This 593-nucleotide ribosomal RNA is filed under the name uncultured Cantharellaceae. RNAcentral describes it as "eukaryotic LSU rRNA". The stretch from base 190 to 343 matches the Rfam family "5.8S ribosomal RNA". Lineage: Eukaryota; Fungi; Basidiomycota; Agaricomycetes; Cantharellales; Hydnaceae. The record is from RNAcentral.